UGAGGAAUUUUGCGCAAUGGGGGAAACCCUGACGCAGCGACGCCGCGUGGAGGAAGAAGUCCUUCGGGAUGUAAACUCCUGUCAGUGGGGGCGAUAAUGACGGUGCCCACAGAGGAAGCACCGGCUAACUCCGUGCCAGCAGCCGCGGUAAGACGGAGGGUGCAAGCGUUGUUCGGAAUUACUGGGCGUAAAGCGUACGUAGGCGGUUAAUUAAGUCAAAUGUGAAAGCCCGGGGCUCAACCCCGAGGAUGCAUUUGAUACUGGUUAACUAGAGGGCGAUAGAGGAAAGCGGAAUUCCCAGUGUAGCGGUGAAAUGCGUAGAUAUUGGGAGGAACAUCGGUGGCGAAGGCGGCUUUCUGGGUCGUUCCUGACGCUGAGGUACGAAAGCGUGGGGAGCAAACGGGAUUAGAUACCCCGGUAGUCCACGCUGUAAACGAUGGAUACUAGGUGUAGUGGGUAUCGACCCCUGCUGUACCGUAGCUAACGCGUUAAGUAUCCCGCCUGGGGAGUACGCACGCAAGUGUG
This 525-nucleotide ribosomal RNA is filed under the name uncultured bacterium. Its description in RNAcentral is "bacterial SSU rRNA". It matches the Rfam family "Bacterial small subunit ribosomal RNA", at positions 355 to 896 of the family's 1533-position model. The record is from RNAcentral.